UCUCCUGGAAAAAAGGGUGGUAAUGCCGGAUGUUCCAGUUGAUCGCAUGGUCUUCUGGGAAAGCUUUCGCGGUAUGGGAUGGGGUCGCGUCCUAUCAGCUUGACGGCGGGGUAACGGCCCACCGUGGCUUCGACGGGUAGCCGGCCUGAGAGGGCGACCGGCCACAUUGGGACUGAGAUACGGCCCAGACUCCUACGGGAGGCAGCAGUGGGGAAUAUUGCACAAUGGGCGCAAGCCUGAUGCAGCGACGCCGCGUGAGGGAUGGAGGCCUUCGGGUUGUAAACCUCUUUUAUCGGGGAGCAAGCGAGAGUGAGUUUACCCGUUGAAUAAGCACCGGCUAACUACGUGCCAGCAGCCGCGGUAAUACGUAGGGUGCAAGCGUUAUCCGGAAUUAUUGGGCGUAAAGGGCUCGUAGGCGGUUCGUCGCGUCCGGUGUGAAAGUCCAUCGCUUAACGGUGGAUCCGCGCCGGGUACGGGCGGGCUUGAGUGCGGUAGGGGAGACUGGAAUUCCCGGUGUAACGGUGGAAUGUGUACAUAUCGGGAAAAGAACACCAAAC
This 557-nucleotide ribosomal RNA is filed under the name Bifidobacterium longum. RNAcentral describes it as "bacterial SSU rRNA". It matches the Rfam family "Bacterial small subunit ribosomal RNA", at positions 146 to 714 of the family's 1533-position model. Lineage: Bacteria; Bacillati; Actinomycetota; Actinomycetes; Bifidobacteriales; Bifidobacteriaceae. The record is from RNAcentral.